Molecule: ribosomal RNA, 1528 nt
Filed under: uncultured Lactobacillaceae bacterium
Lineage: Bacteria; Bacillati; Bacillota; Bacilli; Lactobacillales; Lactobacillaceae
Description: 16S ribosomal RNA
Rfam family: Bacterial small subunit ribosomal RNA
Source: RNAcentral
AGAGUUUGAUCCUGGCUCAGGACGAACGCUGGCGGCGUGCCUAAUACAUGCAAGUCGAACGAACUCUGGUAUUGAUUGGUGCUUGCAUCAUGAUUUACAUUUGAGUGAGUGGCGAACUGGUGAGUAACACGUGGGAAACCUGCCCAGAAGCGGGGGAUAACACCUGGAAACAGAUGCUAAUACCGCAUAACAACUUGGACCGCAUGGUCCGAGUUUGAAAGAUGGCUUCGGCUAUCACUUUUGGAUGGUCCCGCGGCGUAUUAGCUAGAUGGUGGGGUAACGGCUCACCAUGGCAAUGAUACGUAGCCGACCUGAGAGGGUAAUCGGCCACAUUGGGACUGAGACACGGCCCAAACUCCUACGGGAGGCAGCAGUAGGGAAUCUUCCACAAUGGACGAAAGUCUGAUGGAGCAACGCCGCGUGAGUGAAGAAGGGUUUCGGCUCGUAAAACUCUGUUGUUAAAGAAGAACAUAUCUGAGAGUAACUGUUCAGGUAUUGACGGUAUUUAACCAGAAAGCCACGGCUAACUACGUGCCAGCAGCCGCGGUAAUACGUAGGUGGCAAGUGUUGUCCGGAUUUAUUGGGCGUAAAGCGAGCGCAGGCGGUUUUUUAAGUCUGAUGUGAAAGCCUUCGGCUCAACCGAAGAAGUGCAUCGGAAACUGGGAAACUUGAGUGCAGAAGAGGACAGUGGAACUCCAUGUGUAGCGGUGAAAUGCGUAGAUAUAUGGAAGAACACCAGUGGCGAAGGCGGCUGUCUGGUCUGUAACUGACGCUGAGGCUCGAAAGUAUGGGUAGCAAACAGGAUUAGAUACCCUGGUAGUCCAUACCGUAAACGAUGAAUGCUAAGUGUUGGAGGGUUUCCGCCCUUCAGUGCUGCAGCUAACGCAUUAAGCAUUCCGCCUGGGGAGUACGGCCGCAAGGCUGAAACUCAAAGGAAUUGACGGGGGCCCGCACAAGCGGUGGAGCAUGUGGUUUAAUUCGAAGCUACGCGAAGAACCUUACCAGGUCUUGACAUACUAUGCAAAUCUAAGAGAUUAGACGUUCCCUUCGGGGGCAUGGAUACAGGUGGUGCAUGGUUGUCGUCAGCUCGUGUCGUGAGAUGUUGGGUUAAGUCCCGCAACGAGCGCAACCCUUAUUAUCAGUUGCCAGCAUUAAGUUGGGCACUCUGGUGAGACUGCCGGUGACAAACCGGAGGAAGGUGGGGAUGACGUCAAAUCAUCAUGCCCCUUAUGACCUGGGCUACACACGUGCUACAAUGGAUGGUACAACGAGUUGCGAACUCGCGAGAGUAAGCUAAUCUCUUAAAGCCAUUCUCAGUUCGGAUUGUAGGCUGCAACUCGCCUACAUGAAGUCGGAAUCGCUAGUAAUCGCGGAUCAGCAUGCCGCGGUGAAUACGUUCCCGGGCCUUGUACACACCGCCCGUCACACCAUGAGAGUUUGUAACACCCAAAGUCGGUGGGGUAACCCUUUAGGAACCAGCCGCCUAAGGUGGGACAGAUGAUUAGGGUGAAGUCGUAACAAGGUAACC